AUCCAUGUUCCUUCCCCUUGUCUUGAACUGGAUAAUAAUAGUAAUACAUGUUUUGUGGGGAUGAACCUGAGGUACCUGAUUGAUAGUUUUGACCUGAACUGGUGUUUGGAUGCUCAGCUGAAGUCCAGGGAAAAAAGUAAAGAAAGAAAAAAAUGAAAGAGAAGAAAAAAGAUGAAUUGAGAUGAAGCAAUAUAUAUAAUAAAAUGAGAAAGGGCUAGCCUAAAUUAUGAUUGAUAUUAAGGUUAAACUAUUGAUCAAGAAAUACGACAACACUUACCAGAAGGACUUGCACCUCCAAAUUCAUCGCGUUUUACUGCGGCAGGGGCAACAGUGGCCAACAUGGAAAUAACCAAAAGUAUCCGGAUUGUCGUCAUUAUGAGAGUAUUAUUUGAUAAAUUACGAUGUUUGACAAACAACAAAAAAAAGAGAGAGGACGAAGUGAUGUUUUGUGUUGCAAAAGUAAAGCACUACACUUUGAAUAAGCACAAGGAGACGGAGCAAAAUAAAGUGGCCGAACUAAACGCAGUUGGUAUCUACGUUUUUGAAAGUGGAAAUGGUUUUUGUGAAAAUUAAUGUGUUCCUCACUAUCUUCACUUGUGUUUAAUUUUGAUGUGCGGCAAGAGGAAGAAGAAAACUCAAGAAAUCAGAUCUCACCGGAGUUGAACAAGAAUUCACUGAAUCCGGUUGUUUACGAUUAAAUACCAAAAGCAAGGCAAAGGGCGUUUCUUACCUUUUCAUCUCUCACUCUCUUUCUCUCUCUUUCUCUCAUCUUCAUUAUCUUCAUUAUCAUCUCUCCUUUUUGCUAAAUAUAUAUAUAUAUGAGUGUGUAAUACACAUUCACAUCUUGUUUCUCUUUCUCCUCUUUCUUUUCUCAUCCUAACCUCUCUUGUCGAUUCACGGAUGUUACUGAGGAGGAGAGAGAUGUACAAGGAACCAAAAAAUACCCUUUCCAGGCCACUUUGCCUUGUCUCUCCCUUUUAACACAUCCACACAUCUCUUUCUUUCUUUUUGCUCUCCUUCAUCAUCGCCAUCAUCGCCAUCAUCAGCAUCAUCUUCAUCAGCAUCUAACUUAUUUCUCUUAUUUAUCUUCUUCCUUUUCAUUCUUUUCUUCAUGUCUAUGUAACAUUUCGCUUUGACGCCUUUAAUAACUGCUACAUACUUAUUAUUAUGAUUAUUAUUACAGUUAUCAUUAUUAUUACUAUUACACUUACAUAACAUUAGUAUUAUUAUAUUUUAUUAUCUUUUGAUUACAGAAAAUUCAAUUCUUCUCAAAUUCAUUGGAAGAAAAAACAAGGCCAGUUUUCUUUGAAUACAAAGGAAAAUAAAGGGAUAAUAGGGAAAUAGGGCUAAUAUUGAUUUCAAAAUUGAUGAAUCAACCAAAUGCACUUUUUUAAUCAAAAAGAAAAUUCCUUCAAUGUAAAUCUGUGUUCCAAUUUACAGCCAUUUGGUACUGUAAAUUGCAAUAAUAGUGUUGAGUGUCAUCAUUUGCCGCAUUUCAUUUAAAACACAUUUACGCUUUUCAUCGAGCAUUGGAUUCUGGUCAAUCUGUGGUGAAAGACAGUUCAUUUGGAUCAAUAGGAAUCAAUUUGGAGUUGAUAAUCUUGGUUAAAUUAAGAGAUUCUUGCAGAUGACAAUUGUUUGUGAUCAUCAGAUGAAGAUUGUUUAUAUUGAUACUUUGGAUGGCUGCUGCAUAACAUGUGAUUUUAAAACGCAUUUUGAGACACAAGAUCUAAUUUAAUAUCAAGUCUGAUUACGCUACUGGCUAGUAUACCGUUUAAUGGUCAUUCUGUCUCGAUGGAACUUUUCAAUGAACUAAUUUUCAACUUUGAUACCUUUUUUUUCUGCGUCACUAAACCAUCAUUUUGAUGCCAAUUUUGCUCUAAAAACACAACAUAUCUGAUUAAUAGUAUACAAAUAAUUUUAGUUUGCUGUCAUUUUCGGUGUCAACCAUAAUUAGUUUUUUUAAGUCAACAAGGAAUUACUGGCUCAUAGCAAGUGGUCGGUAUAAUGCGGAUGAUCAUAAUCUUAAAUAUAAUUAGCAAUUUAAAACUGCGUAUAUGGUCAGUUGGGAAAGAUUGGCUAGUUGGUCAAAAAUCAAAUAAUGGUUGCAGACAGUGGUAUGCAAUAAAUUGCACUGCUGGCUGAAUAAUCGAAAGUACCUUCAGUUACCAACAAGAUUUGGACUGAUCCAUGAUAUGAUGUGAUCAAGAUGAUUAACCAGGAGAGGAUGGAACCAGCAAAAGAAGAAGAAGAAGAAGAUAAUAAACACUAAAGAAGUUCCACUCUGAAGAUGAAACAUUCAAGUUCAAAAGACAACCAAUCCCCUUGAAGCCCCCUGGUAUCAUCAUGACACUUGUAGCGGAUAUACGGCAUCAUCUUCAUCAUUUUCAUCAUCAUCUUCUACAGCCUUGACCGAGACCCUUAAAAUGGGAUAAAAUUUUAUUAACUGUGGCCCGUUAGGCUUGUCCGAGUAAUAAGAAAGAGAUAGGAUGAUGAAGAUGAUGAUGAACCAAAGAAGAAAAGAAGAAGAAAAGGAACACAAAGUGAGUAAAGAAAGAAGGAGGAGGGAGGUGAAAAGGGGCUUCUUAUGUAUUUAUAUAUAUAUUUCUGUAUAAAUAUAUACGUCUUCCGCAUUCUGUAAUGGCCGAUGAACUGUUAAGAAAUAAUGUGGUUAAGGAUUUUUUACUCUCUCAGCGAACCUUGUAUUGGCUCUUUGCAAAUUGGGUCAACGAAGAAGAGAAAAAAAAUCAACUCUAAAUCCUCUCUCAUUGGAUUGAUUGAUAAUAUUUACGUCCACACGCACAUCUAAAUAAUAAUUGCAGCAAAUGAGAAUAAUAUUGCUAAUAAUAUGGCAGUGAAAAGGUUACUAAGUUUUAUCACUUCUAAUUGUAUGAUGGUCAGACAAUUCAUUUUGUUUGCUUGGUUGGUUAAUGGGUAAGAGGAUUUCGGUAAGUAGAUCAUUCAUUGGUUAUACUUUUUUAUCGGUAUGACUAUUUAAUUAGAGCUUACAACAAUUUCACGACAAAAGUUGCACACUUUCAAUGAGCAAGAAUCGUGAAUUCACAAUAUAACAAUAAUACUUAAUCGUCGUCUUUAUUGAUUCUCACUUUUCAAUAAUUUCGAUUUCUAGAUUGUCAAUUAACCUCUUU
Tetranychus urticae (two-spotted spider mite) is the source of this 3149-nucleotide non-coding RNA. The record is from RefSeq and is a predicted model, not a curated record. Lineage: Eukaryota; Metazoa; Arthropoda; Arachnida; Trombidiformes; Tetranychidae.